Long non-coding RNA from Coffea arabica (coffee), 595 nucleotides. RefSeq lists it as uncharacterized. Lineage: Eukaryota; Viridiplantae; Streptophyta; Magnoliopsida; Gentianales; Rubiaceae. The record is from RefSeq and is a predicted model, not a curated record.
CAACCCACAGCAACCUCUGCCUCUACUGCCGCCCACAGCCUCUGUUUUCUGCCAUUAACAACCCCGUCCACGGCCAGGGCCAAAAACCAGUCCAAUUUGACUGGUUUCUCUAAUCCUUCGUGAUUUCUGGAACCACUCGAUGUUUCCGAAUCAUCUACAAUUGAAGAAAUUGAUCUUCCGGACAUUUGAAGGCUGUUUUCUGGAAUAUGUGAUGCUGUUUCUUGUGAUUUGUAAAGCUGGACUUGUGAAGCUGUACUUUUUCUUGUGAUUUCUGAAGGGGUUGUACUUUUUCUUGUCAGGUGUUUGAAGUUGGACAAUUUUUAAGCUAUGUAGCAGUGUUUUACAUGGUUAUUUGGUUGUAGUUUGUGCGUUUAUUUGGCUGGACAAAACCUGUUAUGGUAUAUUGGCUCUUAUGAAUGUUGUCUCAUAUGGAAUUAGAUUGUAGUUUGUGUAUUUGUUGACUGCAGCCCCUGGAGUUUGUGUUGUAUGGAUCAUGGAUGUUAUGGUCUUAUUUGUCUUGGAUGAAAUGUGGUUAGAGUUUGUGUAUUGUUGAAUGUGAAUGGCAUUGGUUGCCAAUCCUAAUAUUUUUUGUUGA